AAUACAUACGUGUAACAGAUACAACAUUACUUAUAACAUACCAGACAAACUAAGUGACACUUUAGGCCUACAGUGCAAUAAUAUGUCAAAUUUAAAGAGUUUCCCAAGUUCAAUUAAUACAAUAUUAUAAACAUACAAAUGUAAUAAAAAUUAUUGUUCGCGAAUAUUCAAUUUGGAAUGCGAUUUUGUUAAUAAAAAAAAUACUUAUAACUUAUGCAAAACCCAAGAGAGGCAUUUAUAUUUAUUUCUUUUGCGUUCAUUUUCAAAUUCGCCGUGCAUAUAUUUUUGUGCAUGGCGCUUGAGAGGGCAUCACGUGACUAAAAACGACCAACCAACGACCUCGCUUCGGCCAUCUUGGCAUCUUCAUCUUGGUCACCUUGCUUUGCCGUGGGUGGAUCGUUGUUAUUUGUGCUUUUUAAGAAUAUUUUUUUAAUUCGGAUACUUUUAUAAUAGCUUUAAUAGUAUUAUUAACAUAGUGAAUAAAAUGGUGUCCUGUUUUUAACGCAGUUGGAGUAGCAGAAACAAAUAAUGUAGAUAAAAAAAUCUGCAGGAAUAACGUUUCAAUUAUGACAGAAGCUCCAAACAAAUGACUGUGAAUGAAAAGCCCUAUUAAAAGCUUUCCAGAAGAUCCUACGAAGAAAACAUGAAGUAUAGAUCAGAUUUGUUAAUAGAGGAGUAUGUUCAAAACACUUUUUAGAAAAAGAUAUUGACAGAACUUCACUUUCAUCUGUUCGUUUAAGAGACUGUGCUGUUCCAAUAGCUUAUGUCACACAGAAUCAGCUGAGAGAAGUGGUCUACAAAAAACCAGAAAGGAAACGGAAUAUGUGGCUACGAAAAGCAAAAGAAAGGUUUACAAAGCAAAUGUGACACAUUUUUUUAUAAUAUUUAGGAAUGUCAGUAAAUUACAUUAAAAAAUGUAUGUAAAGAUUUUUUGCAAUAAAAAUGUUUAUAUUUA
Diabrotica virgifera virgifera (western corn rootworm) is the source of this 955-nucleotide long non-coding RNA. RefSeq lists it as uncharacterized. NCBI's taxonomy places the organism in Eukaryota, Metazoa, Arthropoda, Insecta, Coleoptera, Chrysomelidae. The record is from RefSeq and is a predicted model, not a curated record. The transcript is spliced from 3 exons.